GACGAACGCUGGCGGCGUGCCUAAUACAUGCACGUCGAACGCAGUGGGGACGGGUGAGUAACACGUGGGUAACCUCCCAUCAGAGGGGAUAACACUUGGAAACAGGUGCUAAACCGAUACUGAUGGAUGAACCCGCGGUGCAUUAGCUAGUUGGUGAGGUAACGGCUCACCAAGGCCACGAUGCAUAGCCGCCCGGCGGGGGUGAUGGGCCACACUGGGACUGAGACACGGCCCAGGCUCCUACGGGAGGCAGCAGUAGGGAAUAUGCGGUGAUAGACGAAAGUCUGACCGAGCAACGCCGCGUGAGUGAAGAAGGUUUGCGGAUCGUAAAACUCUGUUGUUAGAGAAGCGGUAUCUAACCAGAAAGCCACGGCUAACUACGUGCCAGCCGCCGCGGUAAUAC
Molecule: ribosomal RNA, 403 nt
Filed under: uncultured bacterium
Lineage: Bacteria
Description: partial 16S ribosomal RNA
Rfam family: Bacterial small subunit ribosomal RNA
Source: RNAcentral